ACAGUGGUCUCUGGGAUUACG
RNAcentral lists this microRNA (21 nucleotides) under Macaca mulatta (Rhesus monkey). Its description in RNAcentral is "mml-miR-216a-3p". Its record names the gene mml-miR-216a-3p. Lineage: Eukaryota; Metazoa; Chordata; Mammalia; Primates; Cercopithecidae. The record is from miRBase by way of RNAcentral.